AUGACGAUGUGGUUCUACAAUGAAAAUGUGAAGACGCCCCUACCCAGCUGA
Molecule: small nucleolar RNA, 51 nt
Filed under: Pyrobaculum calidifontis JCM 11548
Lineage: Archaea; Thermoproteati; Thermoproteota; Thermoprotei; Thermoproteales; Thermoproteaceae
Description: PCAsR20
Source: RNAcentral